Molecule: transfer RNA, 76 nt
Filed under: Flavobacteriales bacterium
Lineage: Bacteria; Pseudomonadati; Bacteroidota; Flavobacteriia; Flavobacteriales
Description: tRNA-Met
Rfam family: tRNA
About the family: Transfer RNA (tRNA) molecules are approximately 80 nucleotides in length. Their secondary structure includes four short double-helical elements and three loops (D, anti-codon, and T loops).
Source: RNAcentral
CGCGAGGUGGAGCAGUUGGUAGCUCGUCGGGCUCAUAACCCGAAGGUCGUAGGUUCGAGUCCUGCCCUCGCUACAA